UGUCACUGGGAUACCACCCAUAAACACAUAAAUAGGGAUCGACCCAUGAUAGGCUUAUGCCCUUGGGAUACCACCCGAUAAGAGAGAACUUCCAUCACUUAGUUCAAUUAAUCUUUGAGAUUGUUAUUUCGGUCGCCACCAUAUUUUUGAUACUUUGAAACAAUGAUACAUCAAUAGGAACCAAGUAAUAGACCUUCUAUACAAUAACGAUGUAAUAAAGACUCAUUGGUACAUCAACAAUGUGUUUCAGAAUCAUCAAUAUCACAACAAUGAAAUAGGAGCCUUUUGGUAUAUCAAUGAAACAUUUUGACACUUUAUAGGAUGGAAACAACUUCGUUGGUAACGUAGAACAAUACAUGUUUUUGGACAACCUCGGAAUCUUACUUGAUGGAACAUUGGUGUUUUCAUGCCAAAGAACAUUGUUAGAG
RNAcentral lists this long non-coding RNA (428 nucleotides) under Capsicum annuum. RNAcentral describes it as "long non-coding RNA (CANN_LNC010638)". Lineage: Eukaryota; Viridiplantae; Streptophyta; Magnoliopsida; Solanales; Solanaceae. The record is from RNAcentral.